CCAUCCAUCUCGAGGAGGAGUGUUGAACACUGGACAUGUUUCUGGCCCAAGUGACCCAAGCCCAUGUGUGUGCUGACCUAUAAAAGAAGGGAGCUGGAGGAGAGCUAACCCUAAGAGAGAAGAAACCACACCAGCCGCCAGGGACCAAGAAAGAUGAGGUGAGCUGCUGCUACAACAUAUAUGGUGGUACCAAAGGUUGUACCUCAAGGAGCUGUGAUGUUGUGGUAAUGCCCUGCUGGUUUUGCUCUUCAUUUGAACCUCCAGGAGAAAAUGCUUCAGGCAUCGAUAAACGGUCAUGCUUUAGUCUUCUCAUAUGCAGAAAAAAGAUGCAACAAAAUUGUUGCACAUUCACUAAAAGGGUGUUACUUAUUAUCAGAUGAUUAAUAAUUGUUCUAUAGAGGAUAGAGCGGAGAACUAAUGGGGGAUAAAAUGCUGCUAACAGCAACAUUUGAAUUGUGAAAUGUUAUGAUUAGGAAACCUAGCUAGCUCCACUAUUUCUUAGCGCAUGUAAUUUUUGCUUGACCUAAAAAUCAUGGACAUAUUUUGUUGACCUAAAAAUCAUGGAAAAUUGUCUAAAUGGAUUAUCUGUUCUGCAACCUUUGCAUGCUCCUAGCUUGAUUGGACCACCAUUUUCAUCUGACCAAGCGUAUCCGUAACGCCUCUCUAUUUUUCUUUUGCGGGGAUACCUAGGCUUCUUGUCCUGUGCUAGAGUUUCUUUGUUUUGUUGAGUUUAAACAAAUGUGACAAGGACGAAAGAAGACUGAGAAAGAAUUGGUAUUUAUUUUCUUUUAUGAACAGAAACCACACUGACACCUUUGUCUAAAUUAGGACAGUAUCUCCACCUAAUUUUUUUGUUAUUCCGUGGCAACACACGGGAAUUCAGCUAAUUGCAAGUAGAUGUCUAAAAGUAAAACGUAUCCAUUAAUACAACAUUCUUCUUGUUGAUCUUUUAUAAACUGCUUGAGAUGUGAUCUUUAAUAUUUACAACGGAUCCGAAUGAAUUCGCUCAAUUCUGAGUAGGAUGUUUUGAGGCAGGAACAUACUUUAGUAUUUUUCUCAGAGCAAGUCCAUCAGUUUUUUUGAAAGGCUGGGUUAUUGGAAGUAAUUAGAUGAGUGCUGGGUAAACAAAAGUGAGAUUUUGAUACCCCUUAUAUACUGCACAUCAUGAAACAUAUAUUCUUUUGAAAAUACUACUGCAAUUCUAGUUCUGUAGAGUGUAUGACUUGAACACCUACAAAGGCCUUCUUUUUGUGGCGGAUAAUUUGGGUUUCUUUACAUGUGAGUAUGAGUAUCCUUAGGAGCGGCUUGGUACUUCUAUGAGAUCAAUAGCAGUUUAUGAACCUUCUUUUGAAAUUCUUGACUUGAAUGUUAAUACGUUUUCCCUUGUAUUUGAGUUCAAGGUGUUAUCAUGUGACUCAGAGAUAUCUUCGUAUAUUAUCAUAUUGGUCAUACUCCAUAUAUUCGUUCCGUCAUAUCAGAGUACCUGACAUUCUGUUGCUAUAUAUACAAUUACGGCUUAAUUCUUGCAGACUGAAUAGAAGGUCAAAGGCGAGAACUGGGAGUCCGACUCUUACACAUAAAAACGUUACCCUGCUCAACCUGAACUUCCAAGCAGCAGAAGAUAGAACUAUGAUACUUCUCUACGCGAACUUGGAAAUAAGAUAUGGACAACAUUUCAAGGACAACCAAAUUCAUCUGUGGGGUUUCUUUUUUGGUAUUCUGCAGUCCCCUAGUAGAGAAAUUGUGAAGAGCAAUAGUUUAGUUUCCUCUUGCUUCGAGUUAAAAAAAAAGAUGAUUUGAAUUCUUCAGUUUCCUUUUCCUUUUCAUGUUCCUGUAUGAACGAUUUAACCUGCGCUAGUUUCAAGUUUCUGAAAAAUUGCCAGAACGAGCGUAAGCGUAAACUUAUAUUGACUGCAUGACCGUGGGAGACUAUAAAUGAAGUUACUAAUGACAUAAACCUAA
Long non-coding RNA from Lolium rigidum, 1962 nucleotides. RefSeq lists it as uncharacterized. The record is from RefSeq and is a predicted model, not a curated record. NCBI's taxonomy places the organism in Eukaryota, Viridiplantae, Streptophyta, Magnoliopsida, Poales, Poaceae. The transcript is spliced from 2 exons.